RNAcentral lists this transfer RNA (94 nucleotides) under Madurella mycetomatis. It matches the Rfam family "tRNA". Rfam says of the family: Transfer RNA (tRNA) molecules are approximately 80 nucleotides in length. Their secondary structure includes four short double-helical elements and three loops (D, anti-codon, and T loops). The record is from Rfam by way of RNAcentral. Lineage: Eukaryota; Fungi; Ascomycota; Sordariomycetes; Sordariales.
GCGGGUUUAGCUCAGUUGGGAGAGCGUCAGACUGAAGUCAAACUUCAGUAAACAAUCAAUCUGAAGGUCAUGUGUUCGAUCCACAUAAACCGCA